This is a long non-coding RNA of Camponotus floridanus (Florida carpenter ant), 1788 nucleotides long. RefSeq lists it as uncharacterized. The transcript is spliced from 4 exons. Lineage: Eukaryota; Metazoa; Arthropoda; Insecta; Hymenoptera; Formicidae. The record is from RefSeq and is a predicted model, not a curated record.
GUGGCGCAAUAACCGAGUCGCUUAUUAAGGACACGCUUAAGAGGAAAAGAUAUCCAAGAGAUCGAAAAGAUGGGCGAUAGCGAUGGAGAAAGAGAAAGAGAGAGGGAGAGGGAGAGGGUGAAGGGACCUCUCGAAACGCGAAGAACAAAGGCGGCUGCUUAUGACGCAAUCGGUCAAGUUUGAAAGAGAGAGAGAGCUCGCAGAGUCCUUCGAAAAACGCGAGAAAGGUAUCUAUACCCGCUUUACGAACGUGGGAGGCUUGGACGAAAUCUGCGGGGGGGCUCGAGGAGGCACAAUGAAAAUGAAGAGAACCCGAGACAGGGACAAUGGAGCGGAAUCUCGUGCGCGCGCGCGCGCGCGCAGUUUGCCUUCUUACCAGAUCACCACGCUGAGCAGGAUGAUCAGAUAGAUGUUGAGGAAGAAGGUAAAGUCCUCCCAGAGCAACGUCUUCUCCACGGCGCGGCAAUACCGGCACGUCUCGCUGCUGCACGGAUGAUGGCGAGGAUCCCGCUCGGGCGGCGAGGACGCCUCUCCCUGCGACGAGGACGACGUAGACGGCGACGGCUGCGGUUGACCCGGGUUGUCGUCAACGUCGCGACCCGUCGUCGCCCGUCGAUACACCCGGGAGACUAGAUUCCACGCGCGACACUCCAUGACCCGGCGCGCGAACAACGAUGGGAGUACACGAUCCAUAAUCCGGACUCGUCGAUCGUCUCCGUCGACGACGACGGCGACGGCGGUGGCGGUGCUGAUACUGAUGACGGCGACGGCGAUGGUCGUCCAGCGUGUAUCAGCGACAACGCGCUGAUCCUCCUCCUGCUUCUUGUUCUCCUCGUCCUCCGGAUUACGAUCGGCAAGUCGUAGCGAAUGCUACUCGUCGAGCAUGGCAAAACGCUCCCCGUCCACCCGCGGAUCGGACGACAACUGCGCGUCGUAAGUCGUAAGACGUACCGUGUGUAUUAAUAGCGCCGGACACACACGACCGAGAGCUCGACGGAACGACGAAUGCGACGAGAGACUCGACGAGGGUUUUCCUCAGCUGCCGCGCGCGGCCCUCGAAGGUAGGAAGAGAGAAGGAGGGGGAGAAACGAAACGGAGCGAUUGGAAGGAGAAAAAGAGAGAGAGAGAGACAAACGGAGCUCGGGACAGCUGUUGUACGAGAAGCACCCCCGUCGAGUAACGCGAAUACGCAGGUAGGUAAGUAUACACCUUAACGCUUAGCUAUCUGUCAUUCAAUAAAUCUGCGCGCACACAUACACACACACACACACAUACACCCCCCCGGACAAAGUAUAUCGUUGCGUUGUUUUUUUUUUUCUAAAUACGCGCACUUUUUUGCAGAUAACUCGACGAUUCUAUCGGCAGGAGGGCUGAAGAGAGCCAGAUGCGCUUUAUGCGCCGUUCUAGACAACCUGACGAUGACGCGCGCGCGAUGGAGGCCGACUGAUGUAUAGAUAUAUACGUGAUUUCUAGUAUGAUUUCAUAAACACAUAGUGAUGGGUCUACAUAUGGUUUGUAAGGAACUGAAAAGGUCGAAAGUUGGUUCUGAGAAAAAAGAUUAAGGAUUAGGACUCGAAGAGGACCGCAAAAUUCUCUCCCCACAUGUCUUUAAAUAAGUCUUUAGCACGUUAUUUUCCGGCAUAAGUUGGAUUCUUAAACGUGGAAGUGGCCUGCUUAUAAAUUGGAUUCUCUCCCUGCAAAAUUGAAAGAAGGAAAAGAUUAAGGCUAAUUAAGACAAUUAAUUAAGAUGAUAUAAUUAACAUAAUAAAUCUGAUUAAAAUAUUUCUA